Non-coding RNA from Plicaturopsis crispa FD-325 SS-3, 101 nucleotides. NCBI's taxonomy places the organism in Eukaryota, Fungi, Basidiomycota, Agaricomycetes, Amylocorticiales, Amylocorticiaceae. The record is from the annotation of a GenBank genome assembly.
GGCGCAAUGGUCUAGUAGCAUGAUUCUUCCUUCGGGAGUUGCAUCCCCUGUGAGUGCACAGCGACUGGAAGAGGUCCCGGGUUCAAUUCCCGGUUGCGCCC